UACGUAGGGUGCGAGCGUUAAUCGGAAUUACUGGGCGUAAAGCGUGCGCAGGCGGUGAUGUAAGACCGAUGUGAAAACCCCGGGCUUAACCUGGGAACUGCAUUGGUGACUGCAUUGCUGGAGUAUGGCAGAGGGGGGUGGAAUUCCACGUGUAGCAGUGAAAUGCGUAGAGAUGUGGAGGAACACCGAUGGCGAAGGCAGCCCCCUGGGCCAAUACUGACGCUCAUGCACGAAAGCGUGGGGAGCAAACAGG
RNAcentral lists this ribosomal RNA (253 nucleotides) under uncultured bacterium. RNAcentral's name for it is "partial 16S ribosomal RNA". It matches the Rfam family "Bacterial small subunit ribosomal RNA", at positions 524 to 776 of the family's 1533-position model. The record is from RNAcentral.